Molecule: transfer RNA, 67 nt
Filed under: Scolopax mira (Amami woodcock)
Lineage: Eukaryota; Metazoa; Chordata; Aves; Charadriiformes; Scolopacidae
Description: tRNA-Cys
Source: RNAcentral
GGCCCUGUGGUGAAGUUCAUAUUGAGUUGCAAGCUCAUUGAUGUACAUUGAGAAUGUACCGGGGUCU